UAAAACUGAACAGAGGGUGUACUAGGUAACUAUAAGCUAAAAAGCAUGGACACGGCAGAAGUUGCCGAAUCCCCGUGUCAGAUACUGCGACACGGCCGGAUACGGUCGGACACAUGUAUCCCGCCGUAUUCUCCGAAAUACGAAUUAAAAAAAAGGCUGGACACGGGUGGGACACGUAUGGGACUCGGGAGGCCCAAUUAUGCCUCGGCCUGAUAGGAAUCCCUAUCGAGUAUCGAAGGCAGGUCGCACUCACGGGCGCCACAGAAGGCAACACCACAAAAUAGGGUUUCCCACCUUCUGCACUCGCCGCUGCCGCCUCCGUCGCCGUAUGGAGUCGCCGCUGUCGACGUAUGGAGUCACCGCCGCCUGGACUCGACUACCGGCCCACCGUCGUCCCCCAAGUGCAGUAGCCUCUCCUCCCAACGACGACCAUGCUGGAGCAGGUAUCUCUACCUCCUUGAUCAAUUUGAAUCGAUUUUUUGUUGAGCUGCUGCUGCGCAUCCCCCGUUCGUCUACCCUUGCUGCUGCUUCUACUCGCUAGUUGCUUCCCCGUGCUGUUCAUGUGCUGCUGCUGCUUGCUUGUUGCUUCCCCGUGCUGUUCAUGUGCUGCUGCCCUGCUGCUGCUUGCUUGUUGCUUCCCCAUGUGAACUGGUGAUUGAAUUAUUGGUGGUUCAUGUUAGGGAACGUUGCAUCUGGGAGCGGAGCCACUGCUGAUAGGCAAUCAUCCGUGGGUGAGAGUGAAGGAUGACAACCUGUAUGUGGUGCUGUGGAUCCGAUACUAGACUAUUAUUCGAUGUGUUUUGCAAGUUGCAGUGACAUGGAUCUGGCUGAAUGAUCAAUCAAGCACUUGAAAUAGGAGACAACAAAUGGGGCAGUAUUUCUUUUCUCAUUUUUUUGUCCUCAACUCUAUAUUACAUGACAUAUUUUUAUUUAUGUUUAUAUAUACUCGCCGUGUCCCCGAUGGGCUGUUUUUGGAAAUUGCCGUAUCCCGUGUCCCCGUAUGCGUGUCACCGUGUCCGUGUCGCUGUAUCCGUGCUUUUUAGACUAUAAGUAUAUAACACAGAUCCAAUUUGUUGUGCUAGACAAAACAGCUCACCGGUAGUUGUGUGAGUUCGUUCAUAUAGUUUAAAAGAUGUUGGAAACCAUAUAAAACUAAGGAAGGAAUGCUAGCAGCUCUCGAUUAAUCCUUUGGGGAAGCAAAGGAGUGAAGCCACAAUAAGCUGCUCAGUCUUUCCUACUUUGGGUAGGCUUUGCAAAUUUUGGACAGAAAAUCAAAAGUACACCAAACAGACUAAAUUUACCCAACAACGAGUAGAGAAAAUAGAUAGUGAACAAAGCAUAAAAUUUAACUGUACAGAACCAUAUACUAUAAGAUAAAGUUUUCAUGCAUACUUGAUCCAUACGUUGUCGAAAGCAACAUACUGACUCAUACCUCAAUGUAGUCAAUAGCAACGUGCCCUGUGCCCUGAUCAUCCCAUUUGCCUCCAUCCCUCAAACGGUACACUUUCACACGCUGGAACAAUUACAAUUACGAGACAUUGAUACCAUAUUUAUAUAAUGUGAAAAUAAUGAAGAUUGAAACGGAAAAGAUACUGCCCAUAAAAGUACUGUUUGAGGGAUGGAGGCUUUUUGCCAUAUCCACAAAUUAAAGCACAUUUGCUUAAAAAAUCCACAAGUUAAAACACAUUUGCUUAUCAUAUUAGGUAGUAUCUGGCUGGAUACCUUAGGCUUUUUGCCGUAUCCAUGAGUUAAAGCACAUUUGCUUAAAGUAUCCAGUGCUGGGACUAAAGUGUGCCCCAAGUGUAACCAAUUCGAUCCUUCAGCGGCUUCAGACUGAAGUUGCAGUGGAUGAAGAGCAAUCAGAACUUUAAUUGUUUACUUCCUACUU
Molecule: long non-coding RNA, 1888 nt
Filed under: Hordeum vulgare
Lineage: Eukaryota; Viridiplantae; Streptophyta; Magnoliopsida; Poales; Poaceae
Description: long non-coding RNA (HVUL_LNC007398)
Source: RNAcentral